This 24-nucleotide microRNA is filed under the name Mus musculus (house mouse). RNAcentral's name for it is "mmu-miR-7237-5p". The record is from miRBase by way of RNAcentral. Lineage: Eukaryota; Metazoa; Chordata; Mammalia; Rodentia; Muridae.
AUGGUAGCUUGUGACAGGACUGGC